GAUGAACGCUGGCGGCGUGCUUAACACAUGCCAGUCGAACGAUGAAGCUCAGCUUGCUGGGUGGAGUAGUGGCGAACGGGUGAGUAACACGUGAGUAACCUGCCCUUAACUCUGGGAUAAGCCUGGGAAACUAGGUCUAAUACCGGACAGCAGAGCCUACCGCAUGGUGGGUGUUGGAAAGAUGUAUCGGUUUUGGAUGGACUCGCGGCCUAUCAGCUUGUUGGUGGGGUAGUGGCUCACCAAGGCGACGACGGGUAGCCGGCCUGGGAGGGUGACCGGCCACACUGGGACUGAGGCACGGCCCAGACUCCUACGGGAGGCAGCGGUGGGGAAUCUUGCACAGUGGGCGAAAGCCUGAUGCAGCGACGCCGCGUGAGGGAUGACGGCCUUCGGGUUGUAAACCUCUUUCAGUAGGGAAGAAGCAAACGUGACGGUACCUGCAGAAGAAGCACCGGCUAACUACGUG
RNAcentral lists this ribosomal RNA (466 nucleotides) under uncultured bacterium. RNAcentral describes it as "partial 16S ribosomal RNA". It matches the Rfam family "Bacterial small subunit ribosomal RNA", at positions 28 to 507 of the family's 1533-position model. The record is from RNAcentral.